AUGUUCUGUUUCAGAGAUUCUGCGGUUGAGGGGAACUCCCUCCAACAGAAAGUCUCAAUUGUUGAACGUAAAGUCCAGGAAAUCACCUCGCUGACCAGCCAGCUGCAAACCUUCACCGCUGAGCUGGAAGGCAAGAAAAACCUGAAAGAAACCUACGCUGGACUGAAGAAGGCAAAGAAAUCAGCCUCCAAAAUGGUCAAGCAGCUGGAAAAAGACCUGCAACGUGUCAGCAAGAAACUCCAGGACCAAAAACCUCUGGAGGACCGUUGCAAGGAACAGCAGCAAAAAGUCCACCUCCUGACUGAGACCAACACCAACCUCAAAGCAACUCUUCAGGAACUCCAGACCAGAGUUCGGGAUCCUCAAGAGUUAUCCAGUGAGUUACAGAAAGCCAAGCUCACUGCUGAGUGUCUGAGUCAGGAGAACCAAGAUUUACUGGAAGAGGUUCAGAGGGUCCAAACCUCCAUCACGGCCCUUGAACCUCAGGAGAAGCAGCUUGAGGAGGAGAGAGAUCGCCUCCAAACGCUGCAAGAGCAAAACCUCCUUCUCCAGAGCCAGUUACAAGAUCUCCAGAGACACCGUGAGGAGGAGGCAGCAAUUCAACAACGCUAUGCCUCCAUCCUGGACCAAACCAAGUCUCUGGAGGACCAGAACUCAACACUGGACUCUGAAAUCCUUCAGCUCACUCUGCAGUCUGAGGAGGCCAAACCAUGUGUUCAGCAGCUCCACCAGAUCACCACCAACCUCCAUGGACUGCAACAAACCAACGCUGACCUCAUGGAGAAACGGGACCACCUUGAAAAGGAGCAGGAACAGCUCCUCAAACGACAGCAGGAAUGUCAUCAGGCAAAAGCACAAACUCUCAAUUUGGAAAAGAAAAAUGAAAAACUCACCAAAGAACUCAAAGCCCUCCAGGAAAACUAUAAAAAGGAGCAACAGCAACACUUCCAACUGGAAAGCCAGUAUGGUCGAAGAAAAACAAGAGAUCUGAAAUUGGAACAGCAAAAUCAACAUCUUAUCAAAGAAAUACAAGAAUUUGAGGAAAAACUCAAACAUCUGGCUGAACUCAAAGGCAAAGUUACUGCAACAAAAACCGAUCGAAAAACCGUCAUGGAGGAAAAACAAGCCCUCAUCUCCAAGCUACAGAAAAUAAGAGUGGAGCAUUACAAAGCAACGGCAUUCAUGCGGGAAGAGUUUCGAGUCACUGCAGAAGUCCUGGAAGAGAAAAACAACAAAGAAACCGAAUGGAUCCAGUCUGAGCGGGAUCAUAAUGCUCUACUUAACGAAUUACUUUUAGAUCUACAGAAGAAAGAAACUGAAGUGAAACAAUUGGUUUCUUCUCUCCAAGAUGAUAAAAAGGCUUUGCAGAGAGAAGUCCACAGCCUCAAGCAGCAGAUCCAGGACUCCAGGCCGAUGACUGAGCACUUAGUAGGAAAGGACAAAGCCUCAGAGCGUGAAGGAGAACCACUGAACACUGCUUUGAGGCCCCCUCUACGAGCUCCAGGACGCAUUCCUGCUCCAAAAGCAAGUCAGCCUGUGUUGGAAGAACCUCCUAACUUCAGAGAAAGGACCGGCAGGUUCCAGCAGCACAGAGCUGCACUUGGAAACCAUCAGGGUGCUGCACCAUGGAGGGUCUCUGGUACCCAGUGGGGACAAGACCCUACGAAAUACUAG
This is a long non-coding RNA of Oryzias javanicus (javanese ricefish), 1674 nucleotides long. The record is from Ensembl. NCBI's taxonomy places the organism in Eukaryota, Metazoa, Chordata, Actinopteri, Beloniformes, Adrianichthyidae.